This 227-nucleotide long non-coding RNA is filed under the name Elaeis guineensis (African oil palm). RNAcentral describes it as "long non-coding RNA (EGUI_LNC075295)". Lineage: Eukaryota; Viridiplantae; Streptophyta; Magnoliopsida; Arecales; Arecaceae. The record is from RNAcentral.
GAAAAUUUUUUUUUGAGCUGACUCAGUCCUUCUUCUUCUUCCUCCCACCGAACCAAAAGCUCUCCCUCUCUUCUCCCUUAAACCGAAGAUUUCUCUCAAAUCUCUCUUCCCACCGACUUUCACCCUUCAAAUCGCCCAUUUAGGAUCCAACUUCCUCUUCUCUUUCUUUCUCAUUUGGGCGAUUCGAGCUUGCCCUAGAUUCUACCUCUCUUCUCCAAAUCGAUGCU